CCCCGCCGCGAGCGAGGGCGGGGACCGCUGCGCCUACCUGCCUUUCCCUCCAUAGGGACUUCCCAAAGGAAAGGAGGGCGUUUAGGGGCUUUCACACGCCUGAUCUUAAACACAGCGCCCUGACCCCUCCCCACCAAAAACGGCAAAAUGUCAUUUUUGGGGGCAAAUCUAAGGUUUUCCCUACAAUUGUUCAAGCUUUCACACUAAAACAUUUACCUAAAAACGGGCAGAAAUUCAGCCUUAAACCCACAAAUCUCACGAUGGUAUAGACCCUGGGCCCACUCAGGUUUCCUGAAAACUAAACAGUUCUGGAGUUAGGGGUUUGGAGAACGGGCUAUUGUUAAAGAAAAAAGUAUUUAGUGACACUUGUUAAAGCACAAAAAGAGGGCUUUAUUCAGGACCAUCGCAACAGGUAUAGGGACCACUGACUGCAAUGGAGACUUGCAGUAGGGAAAGAGAUAUUGGGCUCAACUCCUCAUACAGCAUGGGCAAGUGGAGAUUUAUAGCCAAGGAGCGGUGACAGGCCAAGAUAAUGAGGCAUCACCUGGGGGAUGGUGGAGACUGAAGAACCUGAUCAGAUAUUGAGGAUGAUCAGCUAUCAAGGAUGGGGGUUUAUUGCUAAUCUGACUUAGCAAAGUUCUUUGCUUAAACUGGAUUUUACAAAGAAAGUGUACAGAAGAGCCUAGCAGAAGAUUCAGAAACCUGACUAAAGUUGGCCAAGCAAAAAAAAAAAUCUUUGUAUCUGAAGGGAUAUGUUAUCCUCUGGACAAAUUGAGGGGGACUGUGCGUUAACAAUCUUAGCAGUCCUCUUCAGUUGUACCACCAUCUCCACUUUAAUAAAAAAAAAUUUUCUUUCAAAUCUGGCCUCUCUCCCUUUAAGAUUCUGUUACAUUGGUGCCCCCGCAUUCACCUGUCACUUACCAUGUAAUCUGUUGUUCCAGGUGCAUUAGUAUUACUACUGGGCUCCAAGUUCCUCAUCUGAAAUCUGUCUCCUCUGGAAAUACUUAUUUACAAGACGACGUUUCUUGUCACAACGCAGGUUUAAACAGCAGCUUUUAAAUGUUUACUGUGGGAAGAAUAGUCAAGGGAGUGGUGCGUUGGGAAGACAGACCAGAGUUUGCUGCUGGCACUGUUACGCAGGGACUGUUUGGCAUGACCUUCACUCCUUUUCUGGUUCUUUGGUCUUUCUAAGGUGGCCUCAAUUUCUUUAUCAGUAAAUAAGAUUAUCUCUGAGAUGUCAUUCACUCAAAUAGCCAUUUUAUAAAAAUCUACUUGCAUCUUCAACUUC
This 1288-nucleotide long non-coding RNA is filed under the name Homo sapiens (human). RNAcentral describes it as "HSALNT0376707". Lineage: Eukaryota; Metazoa; Chordata; Mammalia; Primates; Hominidae. The record is from RNAcentral.